AUUGAACGCUGGCGGCAGGCCUAACACAUGCAAGUCGAGCGGAUGAAGGUAGCUUGCUCCUUGAUUCAGCGGCGGACGGGUGAGUAAUGCCUAGGAAUCUCCCUGGUAGUGGGGGCUCACGUCCGGAAUCGGGCGCUAAUACCGCAUCCGUUCUGCGGGAGAACGUGGGGGAUCUUCGGACCUCACGCUAUCAGCUUCUCCUAGGUCGGAUUAGGUAGUGGGUGGGGUAAAGGCCUACCAAGGCGAAGAUCCGUAACUGGUCUGAGAGGUUGAUCAGCCACACUGGAAAUGAGACACGGUCAAGACUCCGAAGGGAGGCAGCAGUGGGGAAUAUUGGACAAGGGGAGAAAGCCUGAUCCAGACAUGCCGCGUGUGUGAAGAAGGUGUUCGGAUUGUAAAGCACUUUAAGUUGGGAGGAAGGGCAGUAAGUUAAUACCUUGCUGUUUUGACGGUACCAACAGAAUAAGCACCGGCUAACUUCGUG
This 484-nucleotide ribosomal RNA is filed under the name uncultured bacterium. RNAcentral describes it as "partial 16S ribosomal RNA". It matches the Rfam family "Bacterial small subunit ribosomal RNA", at positions 30 to 507 of the family's 1533-position model. The record is from RNAcentral.